RNAcentral lists this ribosomal RNA (478 nucleotides) under uncultured bacterium. RNAcentral describes it as "partial 16S ribosomal RNA". It matches the Rfam family "Bacterial small subunit ribosomal RNA", at positions 28 to 507 of the family's 1533-position model. The record is from RNAcentral.
GAUGAACGCUGGCGGCGGGCCGAACAAAGGCAAGGCGAACGGAGGACAGCCGGAGAGACCGGCGGGGAAAAGAGGGGAAGAGGGAGGGGCGGACGGGGGAGGAAAACGAGGGCAACCGGGCGCAGAGAGGGGGAUAACAGAGAGAAAUUUCUGCUAAUCACGCAUAAGCACACACUGCCGCCUGGCCGAGUGUGAAACGAGACUCGCUAUGAGAUGGACCCGCGUCUGAUUAGCCAGUUGGCAGGGUAAGAGCCUACCCAGGAGACGAUCAGUAGCCGCUCUGAGAGGAUGAACGGCCACAUUGGGACUGAGACACGGCCCAAACUCCUACGGGAGGCCGCAGUGGGGGAUAUUGCACAAUGGGGGGAACCCUGAUGCAGCGACGCCGCGUGAGUGCCGAAGUCUUUCGGUAUGUAAAGCUCUAUCAGCAGGGAAGAUAAUGACAGUACCUGAAUAAGAAGCCCCGGCUAACUACGUG